Molecule: ribosomal RNA, 494 nt
Filed under: uncultured bacterium
Lineage: Bacteria
Description: partial 16S ribosomal RNA
Rfam family: Bacterial small subunit ribosomal RNA
Source: RNAcentral
GAUGAAUGCUAGCGGCAGGCCUAACACAUGCAAGUCGAGGGGUAGAACACUUCGGUGUUUGAGACCGGCGCACGGGUGCGUAACGCGUAAGCAAUCUACCUUAUACAGGGGAAUAGCCCAGAGAAAUUUGGAUUAAUGCCCCAUAGCAUUACGACUUGGCAUCAAGAUGUAAUUAAAGUUCCAACGGUAUAAGAUGAGCAUGCGUCCCAUUAGUUAGUUGGUAAGGUAACGGCUUACCAAGACGAUGAUGGGUAGGGGUCCUGAGAGGGAGAUCCCCCACACUGGUACUGAGACACGGACCAGACUCCUACGGGAGGCAGCAGUGAGGAAUAUUGGUCAAUGGUCGCAAGACUGAACCAGCCAUGCCGCGUGCAGGAAGACGGUCCUAUGGAUUGUAAACUGCUUUUAUACAGGAAGAACCCCUCCCACGUGUGGGAGCUUGACGGUACUGUAGGAAUAAGGAUCGGCUAACUCCGUGCCAGCAGCCGCCGUAA